Daphnia magna is the source of this 4795-nucleotide RNA transcript. It is a transcript of the gene named forkhead box protein O, with no coding region annotated. NCBI's taxonomy places the organism in Eukaryota, Metazoa, Arthropoda, Branchiopoda, Diplostraca, Daphniidae. The record is from RefSeq and is a predicted model, not a curated record. The transcript has 5 exons.
GUGUGUCAAAUUGUGGAAAAUCCCAAGUGCGACCGAACGGCUUCAGUGCGCGUCCAUCUCUCGCUGAGCCCAGACGAUACGUCGGACAACUGCCACCGUGUGCUGCUGUUGCUCUCUCUCUCUCUUUCGUGUAUUUUCGGUUGACCAUUUGUUUUGUUUUGAUUCCUUUUUCAUUUGACGAUUGCGUCGAGUGUGCGCACUUGGAUCGUCUGCGUUCACUGCCAAUAUCCCCAUGUUGCUACGCUGCUGGGCAACACGUAAUCUACCUUGCCGCGUGCAUUUUCACGAAAACGAGAGCGAACAGCAAGGGAAGUAGAACUUGACCAAGGCAGCGAAUAACCUUCGACCGAAAUCAGCGAAAAGGGGUUCAGAUUGCGUUGCCCUAUGGCGCGCCAACGAGUCCGUGUUGCCAUACGCUCAACAGACGUAACACGCUCGUGUGUGUGACUUGAAUCAAAACUCCAUUUUUAUUUCUCUCUCGAAAAACGUUCAUCGAGCUGAAAGUGAGACAAGUGUCGUGAACUUUUUCGUGACUUUUAAAACAAGAACCUGCAGUUUUCAGAAUAUGACAUUGAAGAAUCAAACGUGAUUAGUGACUCGGCAAUAUUCAUUUCAACUUUCAGUCUUUGGGCUCAGGUCGUGUGUGUGUGUGUGUAUGUGCGUGCGUGUGAGUGUGUGUGUAUAAGUUAAAGCGAGCAAUCGAAAUAAUGGCUCAUCACAAUUUGGAUUUAGAUUUGGACUUGGAUUCGAAUUUUGAGCCGCAACAAAGAGCUCGAUCCAACACGUGGCCGUUGCCCCGCCCCGAGAAUUACGUCGAGAUCAAAGAGGAGCCAUGCGAUGUGGAUUCGUUGUGUCACGCAAGCGGCACUGGCAUGGCCGGAAUGGUUGGCGGUAUGGGCAUCAACAUGGGCGGCCCCAUUGACUCGAUGAAGCUACUGGAUGGCUCUUGCGGUGGAUCGGCAGCCAGUGCCGCUGCAGCGGCCGCUGCUAAAAAGAAUUCUAGCAGACGCAACGCCUGGGGUAACAUGUCCUACGCCGAUUUAAUAACACAGGCAAUACAGAGCUCGCCCGAGAAGCGAUUAACCCUUUCGCAAAUCUACGAUUGGAUGGUCCAGAACGUCCCGUACUUUAAAGAUAAAGGCGAUAGCAACAGCUCGGCCGGAUGGAAGAAUUCCAUCCGUCACAAUUUAUCCCUGCAUAAUCGAUUCAUGCGGGUGCAAAACGAAGGGACUGGAAAAUCGUCGUGGUGGAUGAUCAACCCGGAUGCCAAACCUGGGAAAUCAGCCCGCCGCAGAGCCACAUCAAUGGAAACCUCAAAAUACGAGAAAAAACGCGGACGAGUAAAAAAGAAGGUGGAUGCGUUACGAGCGGGUCUGAUGACGACACCAUCGCCAAGUUCUUCCGUUUCCGAAGGUCUCGACAUGUUCCCUGAAUCGCCGCAUCUUCACCAUCCGCUGUCGCACACGCACGGCAGUCAUCCGCACUACCAGAUGCAGCAGCUCAGUCCGAGCGAUUUCCGUCCAAGAGCUUCGUCCAACGCCAGCUCGAUUGGCCGUCUCUCGCCCAUCCCGGCCGUACCGGAAUCGGAAGUACAGGACAGUCCUUGGAGUCCGCAGGACUAUCCAUCGGCCGCCGACGUCUACGGCCAACCUGGCAGCAACACGAGCGAUCGUUUCAAUCCGGACCAGUUAGUCGAAAAUAUCGCCGAGAGCAUGAAAAUCCGGGACAAUGGAUUCCUGGCUCCGUCGUCGGCCUCCAAGUCAUCGACCAAUUCUCCGGCCAGCAUCCAGCAAAAGCGACAGCAACAAUCACCGUCGGCUUCGUCGGCGACGAAUAGCAACGGCUAUAGCCUGUGCCAUCAGCCGAGCUACGCGUCACCUUACGCGGGCCAGCAGCCACCUCAGCAGGAUUAUCAUUCGCUAGGGGGCUCUGCGUCUUCGUCGUCAUCCACGUCGUCGGGAAGAGCAGCCUCUUCCGGAAUGGGACGAUCACCGCAGCCGCAAAGGAUCAUCAAUGGGCCGAACGAUGCUCCCAAUGCGCCACCCCCUUAUUCUAUGGCCACCUUGCAGGGCCUAUCUCCGUCCCAUAAUUUGCAUUCGCUGUCGCCUCCGCACUUACUGGAUCAACAGCAACAACAGCAUCAUAACAGCUGCAAUAGUGGACUGAGCAACGUUGGCUACGGCAGCGCGGCUGGACUGCCCGUCUUGGGCCGUUUCUGCACCUCGUCGCAGUCGAGCUUGGUGAAUUUGGCUUCGACCAACAACUGCAACGCCAUCGGCAGCAGUUCGGGUUUGCUCCGAGCUGCCCUCGCUCAGGGCAACAACAGCUCCAGUCACAGCCCUAGUCCGCCCGAGCACAGUCGUCACGAAUCGGAGACGACGCCGACCCCAUCUCAAGUGAUGAGUCAUCUGAUGGGUGUGCUAAACAACAACGGUGUCGUGUCUGGCUUGAUGCCCAACGACUUGGAUCUGAACCUGGACUCGCUGCAGGGCGGAUUUGAAGAUUGCAACGUUGACGAAGUCAUCAAGCACGAACUGAGCAUGGACGGAUCUCUGGAUUUUAAUUUUAGUCAGCACCAACAAAUGAUGCAGCAGCAGCACCAACAGCAGCAGUACCAGCUCGGAUUGCAGCAGCAACACCAUCACCAUUACCUGCAGCAGCACCACCUGAAUCACCACGCCGCUCAGCCAACAGUCAACAGUGGCGAUUUUAAUAAUAUGGCUCAUUUCGGUACAUCGUCCAGUUCUGUUCCAGCUUCCGGUGGCACUCUGUCUUCCUCAGUUGUGUCGUCACAGCCGCCGCCGUUGUGUUCUCUAGCAGCUCUGGCACCUGGGCGAUCCUGGGUACGAUAGAUUCAUGCACCAUCCAGUCACACACGUCGUAAACAAACUGAUUGCACAAAAAACGUAACAUUGGCCAAAAAUUUCGAAAAGAAAAGGAAAAAGAAAAAUGGGAACGAUGAGAGCUCUAAUGUUUUGAUUUUUAAUGUUUGAUCGCAAUUUUUUUUUUUGUUUAAAUUCAACAACUAACACGUCAUGCUUGGUUAAAAACUCCUAUCCGCUAUUGUGCUUGCCGCAACCAACAAAAACUAACGAAGGAGGACUUCUAAGCUGUGCCUACUAUCGUCACGGGGUAUGACCGGAGGCAGCUCGUUUUUGGUUUAUCACAUGAUAACAACCCAGCUGAAUUGAUCUGCUGCAAAAAUUGCAACCGCAGAUAACGGAGUGUUGUAACAGAGUUGAACUUUCGCUCCACGUCUUACAGCCACAUUCACGUUGUACGAUUUAAAAAAAAAAUAAUGCGUAUCGUUAACCGCACAUGUACUUUGAAAAGGAACGUUACACGCUCCAGCGACUUUCUCCUGCUGAUGUAAAUAGGAUCGAGAAAAAUUCGAGUGUAAAAUGCAGAUUCGGUAGCUGCCCUAGCCUACCAACGCCUAAACGUUUCGGUUUGUUUAUAAUGCCAGAAGGGGAAGAAGUUUGCUCUCUCUCAUCCUGCUGCUUUUCGAUGAUAGUCGAUGCAUAUUUGAAUCGAUAAGGUCGUCUUAUUCAUUCAUCUUUAUCGAAGAAUACGGUUGUGGGAAUAGGGGAAAUGGCAUGGACAAUCAGAGCCACGUCCUUACCAUUAUGUAGAUACACACAAAACUAUCAUAACUAUAACAACUGUUAAAGGGGAAAGUUGUUUAGCUCGAAUCGUUUAAACAUUAAUUUUAUUUUUUUUUUUAAGGCACGGUGUAGUUUUAUUACGCGAUUGUUUGUUUUUUGUUUGUUUGUUUGUUUUUAUUUUCUUGCUAUUUAGAUUACAUUGCCGCCGUAUUCCCGUGUUUUGAAAGCUACGUGUUUUGCAAGCGACAAAUCUGCGCGAUUUCGAAUGCGUCCUGAUCUGGGAACAUUUCGCCAAUGAUGGACGUUAGAAUGGAAUUAGGAAAAUGUAGCUCGUUUUUGGUCCAUUUCAAUGUUUGGCUCGCUAGCAUUCGCAAAUCAGGUUCUUCUUUCUUAGGAACACUUCCUUCAAAGACCAUAGUUUCACGCAGAGCAGUAUCUAAACUCAAUUGUUCGUUCGCUGAGCUGAUUUUGCCUGUACCUUCAGAUAUCCCCCCACCCCCGACCCUUUUCCCCGUUUUUACACUUCAUCGAGCGCGUUCUUGUCGCCAUGUCUCAGGAAAAUGAACCAACUAGCGAGAAUCGAGAUUUUAAUUUUACAGUCGAGGGCAAUUCAAAUGUCAAUGUUUUUUUUUUUUCUUCAUGUGUGGAAUCAAUUGAGAUGUUUCAUGAUUUAUUUUUCAUUGCCAGUAGAUAGAUGUGUUUAUAAAAAAACCCCUAAUCCGUGCCCCCCCCCCAUCCUUGCUUAAAAAAAAAAAAAAAAAAAAAAUGAGAAGAAAAUGAAAGAAAAAACAAAAACAAAAAACUAAAUAGUUUUUUUUAAAUGCAGAGAACAUACCUGAUCUACAAUGCUUCCCGAAUCGACAAGAAGUUAUUUGUUUGACAAGGAAAAAUUCCUAAUGUUUUGCUAAAUCAUUUAUUUCGUGUUUAUCAGACAGUUUUUAACUGUACCUUUUUACUACUAUAGAUUCCUUUUUUUUUUUUUUUUCAAAUCAAUUUUGUUUGUUCUGUGUUCGCUAUCCCCGCCAAAUAGUGUUUCUUUUAUAAUGGCUGUAUAUUGUGUCAUCGUAAGCUCAAAAGAUUGAAACAAGUAAUGGGCUAGACUGACAGAAAUUCAUGCACAGUCUGUAUUUCUGUAUUUGCAUUCUAUGUACAUAUUGAAAAGGAGAUAAAUAACUAGUUCAAAAAUCUAA